RNAcentral lists this ribosomal RNA (138 nucleotides) under uncultured bacterium. Its description in RNAcentral is "partial 16S ribosomal RNA". It matches the Rfam family "Bacterial small subunit ribosomal RNA", at positions 355 to 509 of the family's 1533-position model. The record is from RNAcentral.
UGGGGGAUAUUUCACAAUGGGGGAAACCCUGAUGCAGCGACGCCGCGUGUGGGAAGACGGUCCUCUGGAUUGUAAACCACUGUCCCCAGGGACGAAGAUGACGGUACCUGGGGAGGAAGCUCCGGCUAACUACGUGCC